This 255-nucleotide ribosomal RNA is filed under the name uncultured bacterium. RNAcentral's name for it is "partial 16S ribosomal RNA". It matches the Rfam family "Bacterial small subunit ribosomal RNA", at positions 524 to 776 of the family's 1533-position model. The record is from RNAcentral.
UACGUAGGGUGCAAGCGUUGUCCGGAAUUAUUGGGCGUAAAGAGCUCGUAGGCGGCCUGUCGCGUCGGCUGUGAAAACUCAGGGCUCAACCCUGAGCCUGCAGUCGAUACGGGCAGGCUAGAGUCCGGGCAGGGGAGACUGGAAUUCCUGGUGGUAGCGGUGAAAUGCGCAGAUAUCAGGAGGAACACCGGUGGCGAAGGCGGGUCUCUGGGCCGGAACUGACGCUGAGGAGCGAAAGCGUGGGGAGCGAACAGG